RNAcentral lists this ribosomal RNA (300 nucleotides) under uncultured Peredibacter sp. Its description in RNAcentral is "bacterial SSU rRNA". It matches the Rfam family "Bacterial small subunit ribosomal RNA", at positions 496 to 795 of the family's 1533-position model. The record is from RNAcentral. Lineage: Bacteria; Pseudomonadati; Bdellovibrionota; Bacteriovoracia; Bacteriovoracales; Bacteriovoracaceae.
GCUAACUUCGUGCCAGCAGCCGCGGUAAUACGAAGGGUGCAAGCGUUAUUCGGAAUCAUUGGGCGUAAAGCGCGCGCAGGCGGAUUGAUAAGUCAGGUGUGAAAUCUCGGGGCUCAACCUCGAAACUGCGCCUGAAACUAUUAGUCUAGAAUGUCGGAGGGGGCAGGGGAAUUUCACGUGUAGGGGUAAAAUCCGUAGAGAUGUGAAGGAACACCGGAGGCGAAGGCGCCUGCCUGGACGACUAUUGACGCUGAGGCGCGAAAGCGUGGGGAGCAAACAGGAUUAGAUACCCCUGUAGUC